RNAcentral lists this ribosomal RNA (406 nucleotides) under uncultured bacterium. RNAcentral describes it as "partial 16S ribosomal RNA". It matches the Rfam family "Bacterial small subunit ribosomal RNA", at positions 28 to 526 of the family's 1533-position model. The record is from RNAcentral.
GACGAACGCUGGCGGCGUGCCUAAUACAUGCAAGUCGAACGAGUGGCGGACGGGUGAGUAACACGUGGGAACCUACCCAUCAGAGGGGGAUAACUAGUGGAAACGGUAGCUAAUACCGCAUACCAUCAGUUGCGCCAAGAUGGGAUUAGGUAGUUGGUGUGGUAACGGCUCACCAAGGCGACGAUCCGUGGCUGGUCUGAGGGCUGGACCAGCCACCCUGGAACUGAGCCACGGUCCCACCUCCUACUGGAGUAAGCAGUGGGGCAUUUUGGGCAAUGGGCGCAAGCCGGAUGCAGCCAUGCCGCGUGUCUGAGGCAGGCCUUCGGGUUUUAAGGUCCUUUCAGCGGGGAGGCGUUACCCGCAGAAGAAGCACCGGCUAACUCCGUGCCAGCAGCCGCGGUAAUUC